AAUGUUGCGUAAACUAUUCGCGGUUAGGGAGUUGUAGGGAAAAUUUAGCGUGGGUAGAGUUAAAGAAUAACAAUUUAGAUACGGUCUGUAAUAAAUUAGUUUUUAGAAGUUACGAGUGAAGCAGUUUCCCUUCUCUGGUUUCCAAUCUUCUCCCAGCCCAAUCGCCCGCGUUGAGUGUUUUACAAUAAUACGUUCUAUUAUACUCUCGUUCUUAUAUGCGCUUACAUGCGCCUUAUAUACGCUAGCUUUUUGAACUAUUUCAAAUUUACUUUUUUCUAGUGCUAAUUCUGCUGUUAGAUUAUUAAAUAUUUGAUUUAUUUUGUAUAUAGGUUCUGUGCCACAAUAGUCUGAGUGGUAGUGAUUUUAGCAAAGGGCUAGUCAAGGUGCUGUGUAAUGGUUUUGGGUGCCUGUCCCUUGGCAAAUUCUGAUGAUUGGGCAGGAGUGAACGAAUUUUGAAAUCUCCCUUCCCAUACCUGGCCAGUGGAAAUACUCACGGAUAAGCUGGUGUAAUUGAAAAGUACCUUUGUGGUCUCCAAGUACCAAUUCAUGGUAUUCCUGGAUGAUUUGGGGAUGACUUGAUUCCAAUGGGACUACAAUUUCUCCCAUACAUAAGAUCAUUCCCGGACAGAAUAGCAGCCAACGAAAGAUGCCAGUGAACAUCAAUCUCGUCUUCUCAAACAUCAGGGGAAUGGCCCACAGUUGUAAUCGGAGGUAGAAACAUACACGAAAAAUAAUUAGAAACACAUCCCGAAAUGAAACCUUAGAACAACCACACAGGCAAAGACGAAUACAAAAUGGAACAGCCAAACAUUAAAUUCAGAGGACAGGCGAUUAUAAUUUUAACCACAACGCAGUAUACAUACAUCGACGCAUUAAAAAUAUUAGGAACCAAGGGGAAAACAAACUGAAGGAAGUGAAAAAUGUUGACGUAACCAAGUGUCGUGAUGUCAGAAGGACACUGCGAAAUAGGAACGAUAUUCGAAAACCAGUACUAAAGGUGUUACUCGAAGCUAAGAUUAUCGAUCGUUCUAUCACAUUGAAUGAAUUCUAAAUCGAAAUAAAGAAAUUGAUAAAGGAUAACCAUAAUCAUGAAAAAUCCAAAACUAAAAAUUGGAUUGAUCUUUAGUAUGCUUAAGGAAAUCCAGAAGAUUAUUAAAUGUUUUAGUUGUCCUGUUAUCGCGCACCAAUCCGUUUCUUGCCAAGUCAACAAGGAAGGCAGGAAAAUACGCAAAAAGUGUGGGAACAAGGCCACAAUAUAAAGACAUGCACUGCACAAUAUAGAUGUGUGUAGUGCGAAAAGGAGUUAAUA
This is a long non-coding RNA of Nomia melanderi (Alkali bee), 1309 nucleotides long. RefSeq lists it as uncharacterized. The record is from RefSeq and is a predicted model, not a curated record. Lineage: Eukaryota; Metazoa; Arthropoda; Insecta; Hymenoptera; Halictidae.